This 76-nucleotide transfer RNA is filed under the name Candidatus Rokubacteria bacterium GWA2_73_35. Its description in RNAcentral is "tRNA-Val". It matches the Rfam family "tRNA". From Rfam's summary of the family: Transfer RNA (tRNA) molecules are approximately 80 nucleotides in length. The record is from RNAcentral. Lineage: Bacteria; Candidatus Rokuibacteriota. RNAcentral also lists the same sequence under 3 other names.
GGGCGGCUAGCUCAGCUGGGAGAGCGCAGCCCUUACAAGGCUGAGGUCGGAGGUUCGAUCCCUCCGCCGCCCACCA